CGCAAUGGACGAAAGUCUGACGCAGCAACGCCGCGUGAGCGAUGAAGGUUUUCGGAUUGUAAAGCUCUGUUGAGUGGGAAGAAAACUCUCCGGGAUAAUACCCCGGAGACUUGACGGUACCACUCGAGGAAGCCCCGGCUAAAUACGUGCCAGCAGCCGCGGUAAUACGUAUGGGGCAAGCGUUGUUCGGAAUCACUGGGCGUAAAGGGAGUGUAGGCGGAAAGGUAAGUUAGAAGUGUAAUCCACGGGCUUAACCCGUGACUCGCUUUUAAUACUGCUUUUCUUGAGUAUGGGAGAGGGAGAUGGAAUUCCAGGUGUAGCGGUGGAAUGCGUAGAUAUCUGGAAGAACACCAGUAGCAAAGGCGGUCUCCUGGCCCAAUACUGACGCUGAGGCUCGAAAGCGUGGGGAGCGAACAGGAUUAGAUACCCUGGUAGUCCACGCCGUAAACGAUGGACACCAGAUGUUGGCCUCUUCGGGGGUCGGUGUCGUAGCUAACGCGUUAGGUGUCCCGCCUGGGAAGUACGCUCGCAAGAGUGAAACUCAAAGGAAUUGACGGGGGCCCGCACAAGCGGUGGAGCAUGUGCUUUAAUUCGAUGCAACGCGAAGAACCUUACCUGGACUUGACAUGGGGGUGAAAGUUUUCAGAGAUGAAAACCCUUCCUUCGGGAACGCCCUACACAGGUGCUGCAUGGUUGUCGUCAGCUCGUGUCGUGAGAUGUUGGGUUAAGUCCCGCAACGAGCGCAACCCUUGUCCUUAGUUGCCAGCGGGUCAUGCCGGGAACUCUAUGGGAGACUGCCUGGUACAACCAGGAGGAAGGUGGGGAUGACGUCAAAUCAUCAUGGCCCUUACGUCCAGGGCUAGACACGUGCUACAAUGGCCGGUACAGAGGGCUGCAAGACUGCGAAGUCAAGCCAAUCCCUAAAAACCGGUCUCAGUUCGGAUUGGAGUCUGCAAUUCGACUCCAUGA
RNAcentral lists this ribosomal RNA (969 nucleotides) under uncultured candidate division GN09 bacterium. Its description in RNAcentral is "bacterial SSU rRNA". It matches the Rfam family "Bacterial small subunit ribosomal RNA", at positions 367 to 1323 of the family's 1533-position model. The record is from RNAcentral.